ACUCUGGUAUUGAUUGGUGCUUGCAUCAUGAUUUACAUUUGAGUGAGUGGCGAACUGGUGAGUAACACGUGGGAAACCUGCCCAGAAGCGGGGGAUAACACCUGGAAACAGAUGCUAAUACCGCAUAACAACUUGGACCGCAUGGUCCGAGUUUGAAAGAUGGCUUCGGCUAUCACUUUUGGAUGGUCCCGCGGCGUAUUAGCUAGAUGGUGGGGUAACGGCUCACCAUGGCAAUGAUACGUAGCCGACCUGAGAGGGUAAUCGGCCACAUUGGGACUGAGACACGGCCCAAACUCCUACGGGAGGCAGCAGUAGGGAAUCUUCCACAAUGGACGAAAGUCUGAUGGAGCAACGCCGCGUGAGUGAAGAAGGGUUUCGGCUCGUAAAACUCUGUUGUUAAAGAAGAACAUAUCUGAGAGUAACUGUUCAGGUAUUGACGGUAUUUAACCAGAAAGCCACGGCUAACUACGUGCCAGCAGCCGCGGUAAUACGUAGGUGGCAAGCGUUGUCCGGAUUUAUUGGGCGUAAAGCGAGCGCAGGCGGUUUUUUAAGUCUGAUGUGAAAGCCUUCGGCUCAACCGAAGAAGUGCAUCGGAAACUGGGAAACUUGAGUGCAGAAGAGGACAGUGGAACUCCAUGUGUAGCGGUGAAAUGCGUAGAUAUAUGGAAGAACACCAGUGGCGAAGGCGGCUGUCUGGUCUGUAACUGACGCUGAGGCUCGAAAGUAUGGGUAGCAAACAGGAUUA
Molecule: ribosomal RNA, 745 nt
Filed under: Lactiplantibacillus pentosus
Lineage: Bacteria; Bacillati; Bacillota; Bacilli; Lactobacillales; Lactobacillaceae
Description: bacterial SSU rRNA
Rfam family: Bacterial small subunit ribosomal RNA
Source: RNAcentral